Molecule: unclassified non-coding RNA, 468 nt
Filed under: Hevea brasiliensis (rubber tree)
Lineage: Eukaryota; Viridiplantae; Streptophyta; Magnoliopsida; Malpighiales; Euphorbiaceae
Source: RNAcentral
CAAUGGAGGUGCAAUGGCCAUUGGUCAUCCUUUGGGUGCUACAGGUGCACGGUGUGUUGCAACGCUGUUGCAUGAGAUGAAGCGCCGUGGGAAAGACUGCCGCUUUGGUGUAGUGUCCAUGUGCAUAGGCACUGGAAUGGGUGCUGCUGCAGUCUUUGAAAGAGGAGACUCCUGCGAUGAGCUACGCAACGCCCGUAAAAUUGACAGCCACAACCACCUUCUAUCUAAAGAUGCUCUUUAAAGAGAGGAAGGCAUACACAAUAGUUUCAUUGAAUAAUAUUUACAAAGAAAAAAAUAAGUGUAGUUCUUUAAGAAAUUUCUUGGAAGAGAUCAUUUUCUAGAAUUGCACUAACUUGGUCUCUCUCUGUUGAAUUUUUACUAUAAGAACAGUUGUGUUCCUUUCAUUUGGUUUUAAGAUAAUAAAAAAACAGCUUCCUUAUGCAGAUUAGUACAUGUUAAGGCGAUCGG